This is a long non-coding RNA of Lycium ferocissimum, 308 nucleotides long. RefSeq lists it as uncharacterized. NCBI's taxonomy places the organism in Eukaryota, Viridiplantae, Streptophyta, Magnoliopsida, Solanales, Solanaceae. The transcript has 3 exons. The record is from RefSeq and is a predicted model, not a curated record.
GGCGUAUUCUUGAUCCAUUUAGAAGUUCAUUAACUCCUAAAUAUGUGCAAUCUCUUAUUUGUUCUCAAGAUUGGCUUAGAGAAGAGACUAAACCCGUUAGUGUGGAAGAAAGUUUGGAGUAUCUUGAGAAACUUGAACUUGAGAUGGCAAAUAGUGGAAGAGAUCCUUGCAUUGUUGAUGUUUGAUUGCAAAUUGCUAUUUUUUGCUACUAGUGUUCAACCAUGCCUCCUAAAGCUCGUUCACAUGUUUGGGAAUACUUUGCGAUAGUUCAAGACAAUGAAGAAGGGCGUAAAGUAAGGUGCUUGACA